Myotis lucifugus (little brown bat) is the source of this 102-nucleotide small nuclear RNA. NCBI's taxonomy places the organism in Eukaryota, Metazoa, Chordata, Mammalia, Chiroptera, Vespertilionidae. The record is from Ensembl.
GUGACCUCUUGUGCAGUACAUAUACUAAAAUUGGAAUGAUUCAGAGAAGAUUAGCAUGGCCUCUGUGCAAGAUAACAAACUCAUGAAGCAUUCCAUAUUUUA